CACUCCUACGGGAGGCAGCAGUGGGGAAUUUUGGACAAUGGGCGAAAGCCUGAUCCAGCAAUGCCGCGUGAGUGAAGAAGGCCUUCGGGUUGUAAAGCUCUUUUGUCAGGGAAGAAACGGUGAAAGCUAAUAUCUUUUGCUAAUGACGGUACCUGAAGAAUAAGCACCGGCUAACUACGUGCCAGCAGCCGCGGUAAUACGUAGGGUGCAAGCGUUAAUCGGAAUUACUGGGCGUAAAGCGUGCGCAGGCGGUUUUGUAAGUCUGAUGUGAAAUCCCCGGGCUCAACCUGGGAAUUGCAUUGGAGACUGCAAGGCUAGAAUCUGGCAGAGGGGGGUAGAAUUCCACGUGUAGCAGUGAAAUGCGUAGAUAUGUGGAGGAACACCGAUGGCGAAGGCAGCCCCCUGGGUCAAGAUUGACGCUCAUGCACGAAAGCGUGGGGAGCAAACAGGAUUAGAAACCCCAGUAGUCC
Molecule: ribosomal RNA, 470 nt
Filed under: uncultured organism
Description: partial 16S ribosomal RNA
Rfam family: Bacterial small subunit ribosomal RNA
Source: RNAcentral